RNAcentral lists this transfer RNA (66 nucleotides) under Hasora anura. RNAcentral describes it as "tRNA-His". Lineage: Eukaryota; Metazoa; Arthropoda; Insecta; Lepidoptera; Hesperiidae. The record is from RNAcentral.
AUUUGAAUAAUUUAUAAUAAAAUAUUGAUUUGUGGUAUCAAAAAAGUGAGAGAUUCAUUUCAAAUU